Molecule: ribosomal RNA, 497 nt
Filed under: uncultured bacterium
Lineage: Bacteria
Description: partial 16S ribosomal RNA
Rfam family: Bacterial small subunit ribosomal RNA
Source: RNAcentral
GACGAACGCUGGCGGCGUGCCUAAUACAUGCAAGUAGAACGCUGAAGAGAGGAGCUUGCUCUUCUUGGAUGAGUUGCGAACGGGUGAGUAACGCGUAGGUAACCUGCCUGGUAGCGGGGGAUAACUAUUGGAAACGAUAGCUGAUACCGCAUAAAAUUGACUAUUGCAUGAUAAUUAAUUGAAAGAUGCAACUGCAUCACUACCAGAUGGACCUGCGUUGUAUUAGCUAGUUGGUGAGGUAACGGCUCACCAAGGCGACGAUACAUAGCCGACCUGAGAGGCGAAUCGGCCACGCUGGGACUGGAACACGGCCCGGACUCCUACGGGAGGCAGCAGUAGGGAAUCUUCGGCAAUGGGGGGAACCCUGACCAAGCAACGCCGCGUGAGUGAAGAAGGUUGUCGGAUCGUAAAGCUCUGUUGUAAGAGAAGAUCGGGUGUGAGAGUGGAAAGUUCACACUGUGACGGUAUCUUACCAGAAAGGGACGGCUAACUACGUG